GUUCAUUCCUGAACAUAUACUAAAAUUGGAACAAUACAGAAAAGAUUAGCAUGGCCCCUGCGCAAGGAUGACACGCAAUUUCAAUCGACUCGUACCGAGCGGCU
Molecule: small nuclear RNA, 104 nt
Filed under: Ancylostoma caninum (dog hookworm)
Lineage: Eukaryota; Metazoa; Nematoda; Chromadorea; Rhabditida; Ancylostomatidae
Source: RNAcentral